This 360-nucleotide ribosomal RNA is filed under the name uncultured Bacteroidota bacterium. RNAcentral's name for it is "bacterial SSU rRNA". It matches the Rfam family "Bacterial small subunit ribosomal RNA", at positions 1 to 357 of the family's 1533-position model. Lineage: Bacteria; Pseudomonadati; Bacteroidota. The record is from RNAcentral.
GGACCAGACUUUGAUCAUGGCUCAGGAUGAACGCUAGCUACAGGCUUAACACAUGCAAGUCGAGGGGCAGCAUUUCGCUAGCAAUAGUGAAGAUGGCGACCGGCGCACGGGUGAGUAACACGUAUCCAACCUGCCGAUAACUCGGGGAUAGCCUUUCGAAAGAAAGAUUAAUAUCCGAUGGUAUAUUAAAACCGCAUGGUUUUACUAUUAAAGAAUUUCGGUUAUCGAUGGGGAUGCGUUCCAUUAGUUUGUUGGCGGGGUAACGGCCCACCAAGACUACGAUGGAUAGGGGUUCUGAGAGGAAGGUCCCCCACAUUGGAACUGAGACACGGUCCAAACUCCUACGGGAGGCAGCAGUGA